RNAcentral lists this ribosomal RNA (404 nucleotides) under uncultured prokaryote. Its description in RNAcentral is "bacterial SSU rRNA". It matches the Rfam family "Bacterial small subunit ribosomal RNA", at positions 355 to 776 of the family's 1533-position model. RNAcentral also lists the same sequence under 1 other name. The record is from RNAcentral.
UGGGGAAUAUUGGGCAAUGGGGGGAACCCUGACCCAGCAACGCCGCGUGAAGGAAGAAGGCUUUCGGGUUGUAAACUUCUUUGAUCGGGGACGAAAAUGACGGUACCCGAGGAACAAGCCACGGCUAACUAGGUGCCAGCAGCCGCGGUAAUACGCAGGUGGCGAGCGUUGUCCGGAAUUACUGGGUGUAAAGGGCGUGUAGGCGGGACGGCAAGUCAGAUGUGAAAUACCUCGGCCUAACUGGGGUGCUGCAUCUGAAACUGUCGUUCUUGAGUGUCGGAGAGGAAAGUGGAAUUCCCAGUGUAGCGGAGAAAUGCGUAGAGAUUGGGAGGAACACCAGUGGCGAAGGCGGCUUUCUGGACGAUAACUGACGCUGAGGCGCGAAAGCGUGGGUAGCAAACAGG